This 534-nucleotide ribosomal RNA is filed under the name uncultured Burkholderiales bacterium. Its description in RNAcentral is "bacterial SSU rRNA". It matches the Rfam family "Bacterial small subunit ribosomal RNA", at positions 103 to 631 of the family's 1533-position model. Lineage: Bacteria; Pseudomonadati; Pseudomonadota; Betaproteobacteria; Burkholderiales. The record is from RNAcentral.
CGGGUGAGUAAUGCAUCGGAACGUGCCCAGUAGCUGGGGGAUAACUAGUCGAAAGACUAGCUAAUACCGCAUACGCACUAUGGUGGAAAGCAGGGGAUCGCAAGACCUUGCGCUAUUGGAGCGGCCGAUGUCCGAUUAGCUAGUUGGUGAGGUAAAGGCUCACCAAGGCGACGAUCGGUAGCUGGUCUGAGAGGACGACCAGCCACACUGGGACUGAGACACGGCCCAUACUCCUACGGGAGGCAGCAGUGGGGAAUUUUUGGACAAUGGGGGCAACCCUGAUCCAGCCAUGCCGCGUGUGUGAAGAAGGCCUUCGGGUUGUAAAGCACUUUUGGCGGGAACGAAACGGUCUGUGCUAAUACCACGGACUAAUGACGGUACCCGCAGAAUAAGCACCGGCUAACUACGUGCCAGCAGCCGCGGUAAUACGUAGGGUGCAAGCGUUAAUCGGAAUUACUGGGCGUAAAGCGUGCGCAGGCGGUACCGAAAGUCAGAUGUGAAAUCCCCGGGCUCAAACUGGGAACUGCAUUUGAA